Long non-coding RNA from Ruditapes philippinarum (Manila clam), 444 nucleotides. RefSeq lists it as uncharacterized. The record is from RefSeq and is a predicted model, not a curated record. NCBI's taxonomy places the organism in Eukaryota, Metazoa, Mollusca, Bivalvia, Venerida, Veneridae. The transcript is spliced from 3 exons.
UGUCAUCUCCUAUUAAAGAACCGGUAACUGUAAAGACGUUGUCUCAGCUGAGGUCAAAUAUAUCAGUGCAGCCAGGGAUGCAGACAAUGCUAAUUUGAAUGAAAAUCCCCUGCCUGAUGGUUAGCGUGACACUUUGGCAUCAGCAGACCAUGCCUGGAUUUCCAAGGCGCUAUUUAGGUACCCGGCUAAAAGUACGGCGGAGAAGAAGAUUGAGCUAAAGACGGACAAUCUUCAACUUUGGAUGUAUCCACCUCAGCCGUCUCUCACUUACACACAGAUACCUCGAGUGGAUAGGUACUUUAGUACUCGUCUGCUAGUCUGGAUGCCGAAAAGACUGUGGAAGGUACAGCUGGUUUGCCUUAAUACCGACUGCCGUAGAAGACAGCUUACUCAUGCUGGUCUCUACCCAAGAGUAAGACAAGUUCUAGAUAUCUGUGACUAUUA